Molecule: ribosomal RNA, 841 nt
Filed under: uncultured bacterium
Lineage: Bacteria
Description: bacterial SSU rRNA
Rfam family: Bacterial small subunit ribosomal RNA
Source: RNAcentral
CGAACGCGUCUUGGUUAUUGAUGUUAAGUGCUUGCAUUUAAUUGAUUUCCAUUGAGACGAGUGGCGAACUGGUGAGUAACACGUGGGUAACCUUCCCUUGAAGUAGGGGAUAACACUUGGAAACAGGUGCUAAUACCGUAUAACAACCAAAACCACCUGGUUUUGGUUUAAAAGAUGGCUUCGGCUAUCACUUUAGGAUGGACCCGCGGCGUAUUAGCUUGUUGGUAAGGUAACGGCCUACCAAGGCAAUGAUACGUAGCCGACCUGAGAGGGUAAUCGGCCACAUUGGGACUGAGACACGGCCCAAACUCCUACGGGAGGCAGCAGUAGGGAAUCUUCCACAAUGGACGAAAGUCUGAUGGAGCAACGCCGCGUGAGUGAUGAAGGGUUUCGGCUCGUAAAACUCUGUUGUUGGAGAAGAACAGGUGUGAGAGUAACUGUUCACAUCUUGACGGUAUCCAACCAGAAAGCCACGGCUAACUACGUGCCAGCAGCCGCGGUAAUACGUAGGUGGCAAGCGUUGUCCGGAUUUAUUGGGCGUAAAGCGAGCGCAGGCGGUUUCUUAGGUCUGAUGUGAAAGCCUUCGGCUUAACCGGAGAAGUGCAUCGGAAACCAGGAGACUUGAGUGCAGAAGAGGACAGUGGAACUCCAUGUGUAGCGGUGAAAUGCGUAGAUAUAUGGAAGAACACCAGUGGCGAAGGCGGCUGUCUGGUCUGUAACUGACGCUGAGGCUCGAAAGCAUGGGUAGCGAACAGGAUUAGAUACCCUGGUAGUCCAUGCCGUAAACGAUGAGUGCUAAGUGUUGGAGGGUUUCCGCCCUUCAGUACUGCAGCUAACGCAU